GAUGAAGAACGCAGCGAAAUGCGAUACGUAAUGUGAAUUGCAAAUUCAGUGAAUCAUCGAGUCUUUGAACGCACAUUGCGCCCCCUGGUAUUCCGGGGGGCAUGCCUGUCCGAGCGUCAUUGCUGCCCUCAAGCACGGCUUGUGUGUUGGGCCCCGUCCUCCGAUCCCGGGGGACGGGCCCGAAAGGCAGCGGCGGCACCGCGUCCGGUCCUCGAGCGUAUGGGGCUUUGUCACCCGCUCUGUAGGCCCGGCCGGCGCUUGCCGAUCAACCCAAAUUUUUUUAUGCAGGUUGACCUCGGAUCAGGUAGGGAUACCCGCUGAACUUAAGCAUAUCAAUAAGCGGAGGA
RNAcentral lists this unclassified non-coding RNA (347 nucleotides) under soil metagenome. RNAcentral's name for it is "partial contains 5.8S ribosomal RNA, internal transcribed spacer 2, and large subunit ribosomal RNA". The stretch from base 1 to 119 matches the Rfam family "5.8S ribosomal RNA", at positions 35 to 154 of the family's 154-position model. The record is from RNAcentral.